This is a long non-coding RNA of Girardinichthys multiradiatus, 1009 nucleotides long. RefSeq lists it as uncharacterized. Lineage: Eukaryota; Metazoa; Chordata; Actinopteri; Cyprinodontiformes; Goodeidae. The record is from RefSeq and is a predicted model, not a curated record. The transcript is spliced from 3 exons.
AGAAAGAAGCACACAGUUUGAUCUAGUAACACCCAGACCGCAAAAUGUGGAUUCAUGAAGCAGUUAGUGUUAUAACGGGCAGAAAACACAACCGGGAUGGUGGAGCGAAGGAGAAAUCAACACUUAUGGAGCCAUGAGGAGAUGGCAGGUUGAUGGUGAGAAGAUCUCAGAGACCGUGAAAUGAAGAACGACGUCUAAGCAGAGAACAGAUGUGUGGAUUUUCCGUUUAAAGGAAGUCUUCACUGCUGUGGACCUGAAUUCAAGUUUAGAGAUAUGAGUACAAAAAUGUUGACGUCAUAGGGGGGACCAAACACAACAUGCUCCAAAGUCAAAGAUGACUGACAACACAAAAUCACAGUGUGUCACAGCAGCUGCUCUGCAGCAGAGAAGAGGGUGCUGUAGAGGGUGGUGAAGGCUGAACAGAAGACUGAGAGUGCAUCCUACACUCCAACUCGGGCAUUUACACCACCAGAUGCAGGAAAAGGUCCUCCUGUAUCAUGAAGGAUCCUACAUAUCCUGCGCACACACUGUUUUUCCUUCUUCCCCCGGACAGGAGGCUGAGGAGCAUCAGGAGCAGAACCACCAGACUGAGAUGCAGCUUCUGCCCUGAAGCUGUGAGGCUGCUUGACUCUGAUGGACUUCUGCUCAGCUAGACUAGACAUUCAAACUUUGCAAAGAUGAUGUGUUCACUACUAGUACUUAAGCUGCUGCCCUUCCUUAAGAUGUAAUAACUUUGGAUACUGUUUUAAAUUAUGCUUUUAUACUCAUAUACUUUAUACUCUUUAUUCUAUUUAAUUUAUUUGGUUAAACACUAUGUAAAUGUGAUGGUAUGACAAUACCCUUGAAUCCUAAAUAAAACAGGAUGAGAUCAGAAAAAUAAACUAAUCUUCCAAUUGUUUUGUUAUUCUCAUCCUCAAUUGAAAUGACAGUCCCGUAUUUUAUUUGCGGUUGAAUAUAUUAUACCUGUGCUGAAUACUGUCAGAAAAUAUGAAACCAUUGAUUUGACCUC